AAAAAUAUUUAUCUGUAAUUAGUGCCUCUAUUAAUCCGUACAGCAAUGGUCACAACUUUUCGCUGCAGUCAUUUGUUACCUAACUGGCACCAUGUAAAGACAAAGUUAGUUAUGUAACGUUUAAUCGUGUUCAAAUGUUUAUCGUUUUCAAUUGUGGCGUGGUCGACUACGCUUGUGAAAAAUGGCCGUUGUUUAACAUUGAAGCCGGUGGUACAGAUUUCAGUAUUUCAACGCUUCAUGGCAUCGAUUUAGAACUUGGACAAACGAAUGAAAUUUUUUUCUACAGUUGGUGUGCCGAUGGCAGCCAUUGUUGUCAUUGACUUGCUUAGAAGGCAAGGGUAGUCUCUGAAUUUGGCUGACAGAAUUUAAUUGAACGCAACACAUGCCAGGACAUAGAAACAACUCGAAAACGAAUGCCUCCACGUGGAUUGAAUGGAUUCUUUUGGUGGUAAACGGAGAAAAAAUGAAAAUAAAAAAUAGGCACGUGCCGUUGAUUUCGUUCGUCCAGGUCGGCGUGCUCAUCUCCUCCACGGGCAGUAAGUAUCAAAUAUAAAUAAUAGAGGCUAUUAUAACUGGAGAGAAAGAUCAUGCAGUCCAAAAUUUUUUUGAUUUUAUUUUUUUUCUCUUUUUCAUCACAUCAAUUUCAUAUGCAUCUUUUCAAUGGCUUGAAAAGAGUUGGACUUCCAAGGGAGUCUUGUUAAGUGUAAUCUAGCCUCCCAAUUCACCAUUGACAUUGUGAUGGACUUGUGGAGAGCUUUGAUCUCUCUCUCUCCCUCUUUCACGGCCGUUUAAUGGCCUAUAAUUAUCUUUUUCAUGUACGUAGAUACCAUUUUAAUAUAUGCCACGUGUGUGUGUCUCAUAUGAGACACAUGUUAGUUUCUUUCGAAAUGUUUAACGGGAAAAGUUUUAAAAAAGUGUUGCUAAACGUGCCGUAUGCGUCUAUGUAAAAAUGCAUAGGAAACAAACCAAGUUUUUGGCUGACCUAUUUGCCUGCAUUACAUUUUAUUUAGGCUAAUAAGUGUGACAAUGUAUCUGAUUUAUGUAGGACAUUUCGCUUGAACGUUUAGCCUGUAUUCGUUGCUUUUGUACUUUUUGUGACAUCUUGUUUAUGUUGCGUUAAAAGCCACAGAAAUAGGUUGCACUUCUUUUAUGCACACCAUCUAACCUUGAUCAACUAUCGACGUUCUAUUCUUUUCGUUAACUAAAGUGCAAGGUGAAUUGACAUUCAUUUAAACCCAAGUUCAUGUAAACUCAGUCGAUAUGUACUCAACAUGAUCCGACCUUGAUCUUUAGUUCAUCCUGCGUAACUUUUUGUACAUGAUCAGCACAAGUUUGCCAAAAUAUCUAUAGGCAAUUAGCAUAACUUUC
Daphnia carinata is the source of this 1368-nucleotide long non-coding RNA. RefSeq lists it as uncharacterized. The record is from RefSeq and is a predicted model, not a curated record. The transcript is spliced from 3 exons. NCBI's taxonomy places the organism in Eukaryota, Metazoa, Arthropoda, Branchiopoda, Diplostraca, Daphniidae.